Molecule: ribosomal RNA, 472 nt
Filed under: uncultured bacterium
Lineage: Bacteria
Description: partial 16S ribosomal RNA
Rfam family: Bacterial small subunit ribosomal RNA
Source: RNAcentral
GACGAACGCUGGCGGCGUGCUUAACACAUGCAAGUCGAACGCUGAAGCUUGGUGCUCGCACUGGGUGGAUGAGUGGCGAACGGGUGAGUAAUACGUGCGUAACCUGCCCUUGACUCUGGGAUAAGCCUGGGAAACUGGGUCUAAUACUGGAUACGACAUGCCACUGCAUGGUGGUGUGUGGAAAGGGAUUUACUGGUUUUGGAUGGGCUCACGGCCUAUUAGCUUGUUGGCGGGGUAAUGGCCUACCAAGGCGACGACGGGUAGCCGGCCUGAGAGGGUGACCGGCCACACUGGGACUGAGACACGGCCCAGAGUCCUACAGGAGGCAGCGGUGGGGAAUAUUGCACAGUGGGCGGAAGCCUGAUGCAGCGACGCCGCGUUAGGGAUGACGGCCUUCGGGUUGUAAACCUCUUUCAGCACGGAAGAAGCGAGUGUGACGGUACGUGCAGAAGAAGCGCCGGCUAACUACGUG